GACGAACGCUGGCGGCGUGCUUAACACAUGCAAGUCGAACGGAAAGGCCCUGCUUUUGUGGGGCGCUCGAGUGGCGAACGGGUGAGUAACACGUGAGUAACCUGCCCUUGACUUUGGGAUAACUUCAGGAAACUGGGGCUAAUACCGGAUAGGAGCUCCUGCUGCAUGGUGGGGGUUGGAAAGUUUCGGCGGUUGGGGAUGGACUCGCGGCUUAUCAGCUUGUUGGUGGGGUAGUGGCUUACCAAGGCUUUGACGGGUAGCCGGCCUGAGAGGGUGACCGGCCACAUUGGGACUGAGAUACGGCCCAGACUCCUACGGGAGGCAGCAGUGGGGAAUAUUGCACAAUGGGCGGAAGCCUGAUGCAGCAACGCCGCGUGCGGGAUGACGGCCUUCGGGUUGUAAACCGCUUUCGCCUGUGACGAAGCGUGAGUGACGGUAAUGGGUAAAGAAGCACCGGCUAACUACGUGCCAGCGGCCGCGGUGAUACGUAGGGUGCGAGCGUUGUCCGGAUUUAUUGGGCGUAAAGGGCUCGUAGGUGGUUGAUCGCGUCGGAAGUGUAAUCUUGGGGCUUAACCCUGAGCGUGCUUUCGAUACGGGUUGACUUGAGGAAGGUAGGGGAGAAUGGAAUUCCUGGUGGAGCGGUGGAAUGCGCAGAUAUCAGGAGGAACACCAGUGGCGAAGGCGGUUCUCUGGGCCUUUCCUGACGCUGAGGAGCGAAAGCGUGGGGAGCGAACAGGCUUAGAUACCCUGGUAGUCCACGCUGUAAACGGUGGGUACUAGGUGUGGGGUCCAUUCCACGGGUUCCGUGCCGUAGCUAACGCUUUAAGUACCCCGCCUGGGGAGUACGGCCGCAAGGCUAAAACUCAAAGGAACUGACGGGGCCCCGCACAAGCGGCGGAGCAUGCGGAUUAAUUCGAUGCAACGCGUAGAACCUUACCUGGGUUUGACAUGGAUCGGGAGCGCCCAGAGAUGGGUGUGCCUCUUUUGGGGUCGGUUCACAGGUGGUGCAUGGCUGUCGUCAGCUCGUGUCGUGAGAUGUUGGGUUAAGUCCCGCAACGAGCGCAACCCUUGUUCACUGUUGCCAGCACGUUAUGGUGGGGACUCAGUGGAGACCGCCGGGGUCAACUCGGAGGAAGGUGGGGAUGACGUCAAGUCAUCAUGCCCCUUAUGUCCAGGGCUUCACGCAUGCUACAAUGGCUGGUACAGAGAGUGGCGAGCCUGUGAGGGUGAGCGAAUCUCGGAAAGCCGGUCUCAGUUCGGAUUGGGGUCUGCAACUCGACCUCAUGAAGUCGGAGUCGCUAGUAAUCGCAGAUCAGCAACGCUGCGGUGAAUACGUUCCCGGG
Molecule: ribosomal RNA, 1343 nt
Filed under: uncultured bacterium
Lineage: Bacteria
Description: 16S ribosomal RNA
Rfam family: Bacterial small subunit ribosomal RNA
Source: RNAcentral